CCGUAGCCCAAGAGAUCGGGAUAACACCUGGAAACAGAUGCUAAUACCGGAUAACAACAGAUGAUGCCUAUCAACUGUUUAAAAGAUGGUUCUGCUAUCACUCUUGGAUGGACCUGCGGUGCAUUAGCUAGUUGGUAGGGUAACGGCCCACCAAGGCGAUGAUGCAUAGCCGAGUUGAGAGACUGAUCGGCCACAUUGGGACUGAGACACGGCCCAAACUCCUACGGGAGGCAGCAGCU
Molecule: ribosomal RNA, 239 nt
Filed under: uncultured Lactobacillus sp.
Lineage: Bacteria; Bacillati; Bacillota; Bacilli; Lactobacillales; Lactobacillaceae
Description: partial 16S ribosomal RNA
Rfam family: Bacterial small subunit ribosomal RNA
Source: RNAcentral